GAGUUUGAUUCUGGCUCAGGACGAACGCUGGCGGCGUGCUUAACACAUGCAAGUCGAACGAACCCGACCUUCGGGUCAUAUGGGUGAGUGGCGAACGGGUGAGUAACACGUGAGAAACCUACCCCAGAGUCCGGAAUAACUCUUAGGAAACCCGAGCUAAUACCGGAUGCCCUCGUCAGAUCGAAUGGUCUGUUGAGGAAAGAUUUAUCGCUUUGGGAGGGUCUCGCGGCCUAUCAGCUUGUUGGUGAGGUAAUGGCUCACCAAGGCAUCGACGGGUAGCUGGUCUGAGAGGACGAUCAGCCACACUGGGACUGAGACACGGCCCAGACUCCUACGGGAGGCAGCAGUGGGGAAUCUUGCACAAUGGGCGAAAGCCUGAUGCAGCGACGCCGCGUGGGGGAUGAAGGCCCUAGGGUCGUAAACCCCUUUCAGUAGGGACGAAAUUGACGGUACCUACAGAAGAAGCUCCGGCCAACUACGUGCCAGCAGCCGCGGUAAGACGUAGGGGGCGAGCGUUGUCCGGAAUUAUUGGGCGUAAAGAGCUCGUAGGCGGUUCCGUAAGUCAGAUGUGAAAACUCAGGGCUCAACCCUGAGACGCCAUCUGAUACUGCGGUGACUUGAAUCCAGUAGGGAGUGUGGAAU
RNAcentral lists this ribosomal RNA (642 nucleotides) under uncultured bacterium. Its description in RNAcentral is "bacterial SSU rRNA". It matches the Rfam family "Bacterial small subunit ribosomal RNA", at positions 9 to 667 of the family's 1533-position model. The record is from RNAcentral.